RNAcentral lists this transfer RNA (75 nucleotides) under Candidatus Micrarchaeota archaeon RBG_16_49_10. RNAcentral describes it as "tRNA-Asp". It matches the Rfam family "tRNA". Rfam says of the family: Transfer RNA (tRNA) molecules are approximately 80 nucleotides in length. Lineage: Archaea; Nanobdellati; Microcaldota. The record is from RNAcentral.
GCUCUGGUAGUGUAGCCAGGUCUAUCAUCCAGGACUGUCACUCCUGGGACCCGGGUUCAAAUCCCGGCCAGGGCG